GAAACAAUGGGCUACAAUGAUUACAACAGCAAAGUUGGCCGUAUUCUGAGAAGCCACUCGGGGGCGUCGGUGUGAAGACACUCCACCUUGUAUUCUAUGGUCCUUAUGAUGGCGAUACCAAUGCUUUUCUCGAUAGUUGGCUCCAGACUGCCAUUGCACCGGGAAUAGAAGGACUCUCCCUCGUACUGUUGUCUUCAGAGAGCGUUCCAUUUUACAAAGAGCCUAAAUGCGAAAUCCCGUUCUCACUUUUAUCUGAUG
This 258-nucleotide long non-coding RNA is filed under the name Hordeum vulgare. Its description in RNAcentral is "long non-coding RNA (HVUL_LNC013480)". Lineage: Eukaryota; Viridiplantae; Streptophyta; Magnoliopsida; Poales; Poaceae. The record is from RNAcentral.